CGCGGAGUAGAGCAGUCCGGUAGCUCGUCGGGCUCAUAACCCGGAGGUCGCAGGUUCAAAUCCUGUCUCCGCAA
Molecule: transfer RNA, 74 nt
Filed under: Clostridium sp.
Lineage: Bacteria; Bacillati; Bacillota; Clostridia; Eubacteriales; Clostridiaceae
Also listed under: 12 other names
Description: tRNA-Met
Rfam family: tRNA
About the family: Transfer RNA (tRNA) molecules are approximately 80 nucleotides in length. Their secondary structure includes four short double-helical elements and three loops (D, anti-codon, and T loops). Further hydrogen bonds mediate the characteristic L-shaped molecular structure. tRNAs have two regions of fundamental functional importance: the anti-codon, which is responsible for specific mRNA codon recognition, and the 3' end, to which the tRNAs corresponding amino acid is attached (by aminoacyl-tRNA synthetases). tRNAs cope with the degeneracy of the genetic code in two manners: having more than one tRNA (with a specific anti-codon) for a particular amino acid; and 'wobble' base-pairing, i.e. permitting non-standard base-pairing at the 3rd anti-codon position.
Source: RNAcentral